RNAcentral lists this ribosomal RNA (1250 nucleotides) under Candidatus Phytoplasma trifolii. RNAcentral's name for it is "bacterial SSU rRNA". It matches the Rfam family "Bacterial small subunit ribosomal RNA", at positions 153 to 1399 of the family's 1533-position model. Lineage: Bacteria; Bacillati; Mycoplasmatota; Mollicutes; Acholeplasmatales; Acholeplasmataceae. The record is from RNAcentral.
GAAACGACUGCUAAGACUGGAUAGGAAACAAAAAGGCAUCUUUUUGUUUUUAAAAGACCUUCUUAUGAAGGUAUUCUUAAAGAGGGGCUUGCGCCACAUUAGUUAGUUGGUAGAGUAAAAGCCUACCAAGACGAUGAUGUGUAGCUGGACUGAGAGGUUGAACAGCCACAUUGGGACUGAGACACGGCCCAAACUCCUACGGGAGGCAGCAGUAGGGAAUUUUCGGCAAUGGAGGAAACUCUGACCGAGCAACGCCGCGUGAACGAUGAAGUAUUUCGGUAUGUAAAGUUCUUUUAUUGAAGAAGAAAAAGUAGUGGAAAAACUAUAUUGACGUUAUUCAAUGAAUAAGCCCCGGCUAACUAUGUGCCAGCAGCCGCGGUAAGACAUAGGGGGCGAGCGUUAUCCGGAAUUAUUGGGCGUAAAGGGUGCGUAGGCUGUUAGAUAAGUCUAUAAUUUAAUUUCAGUGCUUAACGCUGUCUUGUUAUAGAAACUGUCUUGACUAGAGUGAGAUAGAGGCAAGCGGAAUUCCAUGUGUAGCGGUAAAAUGUGUAAAUAUAUGGAGGAACACCAGAAGCGUAGGCGGCUUGCUGGGUCUUUACUGACGCUGAGGCACGAAAGCGUGGGUAGCAAACAGGAUUAGAUACCCUGGUAGUCCACGCCGUAAACGAUGAGUACUAAGUGUCGGGGUAAAACUCGGUACUGAAGUUAACACAUUAAGUACUCCGCCUGAGUAGUACGUACGCAAGUAUGAAACUUAAAGGAAUUGACGGGACUCCGCACAAGCGGUGGAUCAUGUUGUUUAAUUCGAAGAUACACGAAAAAUCUUACCAGGUCUUGACAUACUCUGCAAAGCUAUAGAAAUAUAGUGGAGGUUAUCAGGGAUACAGGUGGUGCAUGGUUGUCGUCAGUUCGUGUCGUGAGAUGUUAGGUUAAGUCCUAAAACGAGCGCAACCCUUGUCGUUAAUUGCCAGCACGUAAUGGUGGGGACUUUAGCGAGACUGCCAAUUAAACAUUGGGAGAAAGUGAGGAUUACGUCCAAUCAUCAUGCCCCUUAUGAUCUGGGCUACAAACGUGAUACAAUGGCUGUGACAAAGAGUAGCUGAAACGCGAGUUUUUAGCCAAUCUCAAAAAAGCAGUCUCAGUUCGGAUUGAAGUCUGUAACUCGACUUCAUGAAGUUGGAAUCGCUAGUAAUCGCGAAUCAGCAUGUCGCGGUGAAUACGUUCACGGGGUUUGUACACACCGCCCGUCA